GUCCUCGCUUCAGCAGCACAUAUACUUACAUUGAAAGGAUAUAGAGAAGAUUAGCAUGGCCCUUACACAAGGAUGACAUGCAAAUUUGUGAAGCAUUCCAUAUUUUU
Artibeus jamaicensis (Jamaican fruit-eating bat) is the source of this 107-nucleotide small nuclear RNA. Lineage: Eukaryota; Metazoa; Chordata; Mammalia; Chiroptera; Phyllostomidae. The record is from RefSeq and is a predicted model, not a curated record.